RNAcentral lists this ribosomal RNA (469 nucleotides) under uncultured bacterium. RNAcentral's name for it is "partial 16S ribosomal RNA". It matches the Rfam family "Bacterial small subunit ribosomal RNA", at positions 28 to 507 of the family's 1533-position model. The record is from RNAcentral.
GAUGAACGCUGGCGGCGUGCUUAACACAUGCAAGUCGAACGGUGAAGCUCCAGCUUGCUGGAGUGGAUCAGUGGCGAACGGGUGAGUAACACGUGAGCAACCUGCCCCUGACUCUGGGAUAACAGCCGGAAACGGCUGCUAAUACCGGAUAUGCACCAUGAACGCAUGUUCUGUGGUGGGAAAGCUUUUGCGGUUGGGGAUGGGCUCGCGGCCUAUCAGCUUGUUGGUGAGGUAAUGGCUCACCAAGGCGUCGACGGGUAGCCGGCCUGAGAGGGUGACCGGCCACACUGGGACUGAGACACGGCCCAGACUCCUACGGGAGGCAGCAGUGGGGAAUAUUGCACAAUGGGCGAAAGCCUGAUGCAGCGGCGCCGCGUGAGUGAUGACAGCCUUCGGGUUGUAAACCUCUUUUAGCAGGGAAGAAGCGAGAGUGACGGUACCUGCAGAAAAAGCGCCGGCUAACUACGUG